Gossypium raimondii (Peruvian cotton) is the source of this 1108-nucleotide long non-coding RNA. RefSeq lists it as uncharacterized. The transcript has 6 exons. The record is from RefSeq and is a predicted model, not a curated record. NCBI's taxonomy places the organism in Eukaryota, Viridiplantae, Streptophyta, Magnoliopsida, Malvales, Malvaceae.
GAAAGUCUCAAUCAUAUCCCCUCACUCGGUCCAGUUUCCAAAAGCUAUCAACUUUCCAAAAACAAACCCUAUCAGUUACUAUUAUCCCUUCCAGAGCCUUCCACAGCAUCCCCCUUCAGUCAGGUUCUCUUGGUCUUCUUCUUCCCAUGGCUUCAGCGAAGAAGUUUGGUACUCCUUCCAGGCAUGCAUAGCCUUCUGCUGUAAACGGGGACGCAACUUCAAUGUAGAAAACCAUUUUGGAGGCAAUUAUCUCAGCCGAUGCAUUUCUGGCAACAACCCUCGAACCCACUUUGGCAUGCGUUUGAUUGAAUGAUGCAUCAAAGUUGAUUUUAAUCAACGAAUCAGUUGGAGGGUUCCAUUCCUCAUUUCCUCUCGAUCUGCCCAUAUGGAACAAUAGAACGUCCUAAACUGCUUGUCCGUACUUCUUCUGAAAAUCUAGGCACUUCGAACAGAAAAUUCCCCAGACAAUUCACCCUUUCAAACCAGUAAGUCAUCGUGAGCUUAUUGUGCUAAAGGAAUUCAGAGGAUCAUAGUCACAACUUCUUCUGAAAAGGCAGAGCUAGAAAGCCACACAUCACUUGGAAUGGAAAUUCUUUCCCCUAAACCAACUCUCCAACACAACCCACUUUGCAAGAGCUCUUUAGCAGCCUACAUACUCUUCCAAGUAAGCGAAGAUAUGGACAGAUGACAGUGCUUGUUGUCAUUGAAAUUUCACCGACCACCAGCAGUUUCUUUUGGAAAGUAGAUUUUUUGUUGAUUUCUUAAUUUGUUUAUGUUUUGAGAUUAUUUCAGAAUAAUAAAUGAUUUUACAAGUCGAUUUCGACCCGUGUUGUCUUAAGUUUUAUAUUUUAUAUUUUUUUUAUUAUUUAACAAGUCUUCACUUUUAGAAUUUUUUGUGUGCUCUUGUAGCAUGUUUUUUUAGUCUUGUUUAUGUAUGUAGUCUUGCUUUUGCAAGUGAUUUUAGGCUGGUUCUAUCAUUGUUCUUUUCAAUUUAGUGGAUGCUCGGUUCUUUUGUCGAUUUUUUGCCCUCCACUUUUGACCAUCCGAGGUUGAUUUUCUUAUUGUAUUAAGUGGUUGGUGUUGGUAAUGCAAAGUGGGUAAUUUCAUA